Molecule: ribosomal RNA, 253 nt
Filed under: uncultured bacterium
Lineage: Bacteria
Description: partial 16S ribosomal RNA
Rfam family: Bacterial small subunit ribosomal RNA
Source: RNAcentral
GACGUAGGGUGCGAGCGUUGUCCGGAUUUAUUGGGCGUAAAGAGCUCGUAGGCGGCUCGUCGCGUCAGCUGUGAAAACCCGCGGCUUAACUGUGGGCUUGCAGCUGAUACGGGCGGGCUAGAGUUCGGUAGGGGAGACUGGAAUUCCUGGUGUAGCGGUGAAAUGCGUUGAUAUCAGAAGGAACGCCGGUGGCGAAAGCGCUCGACUGGACCUCUGCUGACGCUGAGGCGCGAAAGCUAGGGGAGCAAACGGG